AGAAUUGUACGACUUCCAUGCAGCCAUUGCUCCCUUGCGCCUGUCACCUAAAGUCGCCGAUUGCUUAUCACCCCAGAGAGGAAUAUGAAGAGUUUUUUUCACAUUGUGUAGUGAACACAAGUCAGCCGCUGGUUGUUGAGUCUGUAUCUGAAGCCAUGGAGGAGGACUUGCCUACCGCCUUUCUGCCACGUGAAAUCCUGUCCCGAGUUUCGAGAUCCACAGCCCCUUGCUGAACUGUGGUUCCCGUGUAAGGUCACACUGACAUCGGCUAGGCUUGCCAUAACUCAACUUGCCUAAACGGGGACUUUAUGCAAUCACUGAUGCUCUGAUAUUUCCACUUACAAUUCAUGUAAACUGAACUAAAUCAUAAUCCUUGCAAAGUCAAACGGUUCAAGCUGACAUUCUUAUUUAGGAUGUUUUAGUAAAUCGGCGUGUUUGUUGGAUCCACCAUAAAGUAUUGUAAGAUAAUGUAAAAAUGUACUGUCUGUUUAAAGUACACUAAAUUGUUUGAGUGCGUUUUACGUCCUCCUUUUUUACAAUAUAAAUUCACAAACGUUAGAAGUAUUCCGCGUAUGAAACGCAAUAUUCUGAUGAAGCUGUUAGCAGUGUUCGAAAUACCUGCCUGCCCGACCGUCCGAGACGGGUU
This is a long non-coding RNA of Haliotis rufescens (red abalone), 646 nucleotides long. RefSeq lists it as uncharacterized. The transcript has 3 exons. Lineage: Eukaryota; Metazoa; Mollusca; Gastropoda; Lepetellida; Haliotidae. The record is from RefSeq and is a predicted model, not a curated record.